Molecule: unclassified non-coding RNA, 281 nt
Filed under: Rhizochaete americana
Lineage: Eukaryota; Fungi; Basidiomycota; Agaricomycetes; Polyporales; Phanerochaetaceae
Description: partial internal transcribed spacer region
Rfam family: Eukaryotic small subunit ribosomal RNA (bases 1-46)
Source: RNAcentral
AAGUCGUAACAAGGUUUCCGUAGGUGAACCUGCGGAAGGAUCAUUAUCGAGUUUUGAAACGGGUUGUAGCUGGCCUUAUAUUGAGGCAUUGUGCACGCCUGGCUCAUCCACUCCUUCAACCUCUGUGCACUUAUUGUAGGUCGGUGGAAGAUUGGCUUUUAUUUUUUAAAAACCAACCGGAAGCCUUCCUACGUUUCACUACAAACGCUUCAGUUAUAGAAUGUAUCUCUGCGUAAUAACGCAUCUAUAUACAACUUUCAGCAACGGAUCUCUUGGCUCUC